This 1437-nucleotide ribosomal RNA is filed under the name uncultured organism. RNAcentral's name for it is "SSU rRNA". It matches the Rfam family "Bacterial small subunit ribosomal RNA". The record is from RNAcentral.
AACGCUAGCUACAGGCUUAACACAUGCAAGUCGAGGGGCAGCAUGGUCUUAGCUUGCUAAGGCCGAUGGCGACCGGCGCACGGGUGAGUAACACGUAUCCAACCUGCCGUCUACUCUUGGACAGCUUUCUGAAAGGAAGAUUAAUACAAGAUGGCAUCAUGAGUCCGCAUGUUCACAUGAUUAAAGGUAUUCCGGUAGACGAUGGGGAUGCGUUCCAUUAGAUAGUAGGCGGGGUAACGGCCCACCUAGUCUUCGAUGGAUAGGGGUUCUGAGAGGAAGGUCCCCCACAUUGGAACUGAGACACGGUCCAAACUCCUACGGGAGGCAGCAGUGAGGAAUAUUGGUCAAUGGGCGCAGGCCUGAACCAGCCAAGUAGCGUGAAGGAUGACUGCCCUAUGGGUUGUAAACUUCUUUUAUAAAGGAAUAAAGUCGGGUAUGGAUACCCGUUUGCAUGUACUUUAUGAAUAAGGAUCGGCUAACUCCGUGCCAGCAGCCGCGGUAAUACGGAGGAUCCGAGCGUUAUCCGGAUUUAUUGGGUUUAAAGGGAGCGUAGAUGGAUGUUUAAGUCAGUUGUGAAAGUUUGCAGCUCAACCGUAAAAUUGCAGUUGAUACUGGAUAUCUUGAGUGCAGUUGAGGCAGGCGGAAUUCGUGGUGUAGCGGUGAAAUGCUUAGAUAUCACGAAGAACUCCGAUUGCGAAGGCAGCCUGCUAAGCUGCAACUGACAUUGAGGCUCGAAAGUGUGGGUAUCAAACAGGAUUAGAUACCCUGGUAGUCCACACGGUAAACGAUGAAUACUCGCUGUUUGCGAUAUACAGCAAGCGGCCAAGCGAAAGCGUUAAGUAUUCCACCUGGGGAGUACGCCGGCAACGGUGAAACUCAAAGGAAUUGACGGGGGCCCGCACAAGCGGAGGAACAUGUGGUUUAAUUCGAUGAUACGCGAGGAACCUUACCCGGGCUUAAAUUGCAGAUGAAUUACGGUGAAAGCCGUAAGCCGCAAGGCAUCUGUGAAGGUGCUGCAUGGUUGUCGUCAACUCGUGCCGUGAGGUGUCGGCUUAAGUGCCAUAACGAGCGCAACCCUUGUUGUCAGUUACUAACAGGUUCCGCUGAGGACUCUGACAAGACUGCCAUCGUAAGAUGUGAGGAAGGUGGGGAUGACGUCAAAUCAGCACGGCCCUUACGUCCGGGGCUACACACGUGUUACAAUGGGGGGUACAGAGGGCCGCUACCACGCGAGUGGAUGCCAAUCCCCAAAACCUCUCUCAGUUCGGACUGGAGUCUGCAACCCGACUCCACGAAGCUGGAUUCGCUAGUAAUCGCGCAUCAGCCACGGCGCGGUGAAUACGUUCCCGGGCCUUGUACACACCGCCCGUCAAGCCAUGGGAGCCGGGGGUACCUGAAGUGCGUAACCGCGAGGAGCGCCCUAGGGUAAAACUGGAG